UGGGGAAUUUUGGACAAUGGGCGCAAGCCUGAUCCAGCCAUGCCGCGUGUCUGAAGAAGGCCUUCGGGUUGUAAAGGACUUUUGUCAGGGAAGAAAAGGGCGGGGUUAAUACCCCUGUCUGAUGACGGUACCUGAAGAAUAAGCACCGGCUAACUACGUGCCAGCAGCCGCGGUAAUACGUAGGGUGCGAGCGUUAAUCGGAAUUACUGGGCGUAAAGCGGGCGCAGACGGUUACUUAAGCAGGAUGUG
Molecule: ribosomal RNA, 249 nt
Filed under: uncultured Neisseria sp.
Lineage: Bacteria; Pseudomonadati; Pseudomonadota; Betaproteobacteria; Neisseriales; Neisseriaceae
Description: partial 16S ribosomal RNA
Rfam family: Bacterial small subunit ribosomal RNA
Source: RNAcentral